AUACGUAGGUGACAAGCGUUAUCCGGAUUUACUGGGCGUAAAGGGCGUGUAGGCGGUCUUGCAAGUCAGAAGUGAAAUUCCUGAGCUCAACUCGGGCGCUGCUUCUGAAACUGCAGGACUUGAGUGCUGGAGGGGAUAGCGGAAUUCCUAGUGGAGCGGUAAAAUGCGCAGAUAUUAGGAAGAACACCGGUGGCGAAGGCGGCUAUCUGGACAGUAACUGACGCUGAGGCGCGAAAGCGUGGGGAGCAAACAGGAUUAGAUGCCCUGGUAGUCCACGCUGUAAACGAUGAAUACUAGGUGUGGGGGGACUGACCCCCUCCGUGCCGCAGUUAACACAAUAAGUAUUCCACCUGGGGAGUACGAUCGCAAGAUUGAAACUCAAAGGAAUUGACGGGG
RNAcentral lists this ribosomal RNA (396 nucleotides) under uncultured bacterium. Its description in RNAcentral is "partial 16S ribosomal RNA". It matches the Rfam family "Bacterial small subunit ribosomal RNA", at positions 523 to 918 of the family's 1533-position model. The record is from RNAcentral.